AAUAUUGGACAAUGGGGGCAACCCUGAUCCAGCCAUGCCGCGUGUGUGAAGAAGGUUUUCGGAUCNUAAAACUCUGUCAUUGGGGANGAAUAAAUGACGGUACCCAAUGAGGAAGCCCCGGCUAACUACGUGCCAGCAGCCGCGGUAAUACGUAGGGGGCGAGCGUUGUCCGGAAUUACUGGGCGUAAAGGGUACGUAGGCGGCUAUAUAAGUCAGGUGUGAAAUACCAGUGCUUAACACUGGAAUUGCAUUUGAAACUGUGUAGCUUGAGUUAAGGAGAGGAAAGUGGAAUUCCUAGUGUAGCGGUGAAAUGCGUAGAUAUUAGGAGGAAUACCAGUGGCGAAGGCGACUUUCUGGACUUUUUCUGACGCUGAGGAACGAAAGCAUGGGGAGCAAACA
This 399-nucleotide ribosomal RNA is filed under the name uncultured bacterium. Its description in RNAcentral is "partial 16S ribosomal RNA". It matches the Rfam family "Bacterial small subunit ribosomal RNA", at positions 360 to 774 of the family's 1533-position model. The record is from RNAcentral.